UUAACUAUUAUAUAGUACUCAGACGACACUGUAAUUCAAAGUUUAGGGUUCUCUGGCGGGCACUCACUAGCCGAAGCCAGUAGCCGAAGCGGCCCGCCAAAGCAACAAGAGUUUGUAUUCAAGGGUGGAGAUCUACCCGUUAGGGCAUGAACUCAGUAAUGAUCCUUCCGCAGGUUCACUUACGGAAA
RNAcentral lists this unclassified non-coding RNA (188 nucleotides) under uncultured fungus. RNAcentral describes it as "sequence contains ITS1, 5.8S rRNA gene". The record is from RNAcentral. Lineage: Eukaryota; Fungi.